This 1199-nucleotide long non-coding RNA is filed under the name Mytilus galloprovincialis (Mediterranean mussel). The record is from RNAcentral. Lineage: Eukaryota; Metazoa; Mollusca; Bivalvia; Mytilida; Mytilidae.
AUAAAAUUCAAAUUGCAACUGACACAUUUUGAUGGAUGGAAUUUUAAAAAUAAGAACAUUUAUGUACUUAAUUUAAGCACAAGUGAAAACAAUUCCUAAAUAUAAAUUUUUGCUUCAUUUGGUAACAUGGAUGUGCAAAAUCACUGAUGGCUAACAAGGUUAAUUCCCUUAUUGGUUAGAUAAUGAAGUAUAGUCUACUGGACCCUGUAGACAUCCUACUAAAUGUAUUGAUAUAUUAAAUGUUUUUUUUAUAUCUCAAUCAAUAUUUGUACAUGCCUCACACAAAAAGGUGCAAGCAGAGUUGCAUGUACUGGACAGAGUCAGCUAUCAACUUUCUUUUUAUAACAGACCCAUUUCACAAUCAAUAUUUGUACAUGCCUCACACAUAAAGGUGCAAGCAGAGUUGCAUGUACUGGACAUUGUCAGCUAUCAAGUAUUUUUAUAACAAACCCACAGAACUGGUAUCCAGGAAAUUGAAAUGAAUCAACAAAACAUUUAUAUUGUAGAAAUGUAUUUUCCCGCGUUUCGGAGUAUAGCGGGAAAAUGUUGUCUAAAAGGAAUGUUUUAUAAGAACAGUAUGUUUUUGGCGGGUUUUGUUAUGUGUAGUUCUACACGUGGACCAAUCAUUUGGAUUGUGUCAAUAAGUAUUAUUAUGUUAAUAAGGUGAAAGCGGGUUUUUAAUUUUCUUGUGUUUGAAAAUCAUUCUAGCCACAGACGUUCAACACUAUAAAACUUAUAUUGUAUAUUAUUUUGCUGUUUUUUCUUGUGAUGGAGUUUGGCAUCAAUGUCCCGAGGCGUGCCUUGCACUUGCUCCGAACACAGGUUUCCAUAUCAAUUUCUUUAGUAAAGUUUUUGAUGGUUUUUCCUGGGCGGUGAGGUUACGUUAAAGACGGAUAUAUACAUAAAUACAUACAUAGAGAUAUGGGCUCUUAUUGAUUCAGACUAAACUUGUUUCAGAUGUUUAUUCUUUCUGUGUACUCAUUUGGAAUGUAUUUGUAUUUCAUAUAUGUCAUGAUUUAUAAUAUAAAUAUACAUUAAACGCCGGCUCUGUUAGUCUGCACGGCUAAAUGCAUUGCUUUGUGUUUGUUAUUAUUGUAGUGUAGUUAAGACUAAUAUAUUUCUCAUUAUACCUUACUUAUGAUGCAGAUUCAAAGAUGUACUACAGUGACAUAACACUACAAGUUACAAUAUAUUUUGUA